Molecule: ribosomal RNA, 2714 nt
Filed under: Archaeoglobales archaeon
Lineage: Archaea; Methanobacteriati; Methanobacteriota; Archaeoglobi; Archaeoglobales
Description: bacterial LSU rRNA
Rfam family: Archaeal large subunit ribosomal RNA
Source: RNAcentral
CACCCGGUGGAUGGCUCGGCUCGGGCGGCGACGAAGGGCGUGGCAAGCUGCGAAAAGCCGCGGGUAGGCGCAUGCAGCCGUGGAUCCGCGGAUGCCCGAAUGGGGCAACCCACCUACGCCUUACGGCGUAGGUGUACACCGGCUUUAAAGCCGGUGUACGCGAACCCCCCGAAGGGAAACAUCCUAGUAGGGGGAGGAAAAGAAAUCAAACGAGAUUCCCUGAGUACCGGAGAGGGAAAGGGGAGGAGCCCAAACCGAAUCUCCCUGGGAUGACCAGGGAGAGAUGUGGGGUUUCGGAGGGUGGCAUAUGCCUCCCCACCCACAGUAGCCGAACUCACCUGGAAUGGUGGGCCGUAGAGGGUGAAAGCCCCGUAGGCGAAGCUGUGGAGGGAGGCGCCAUCCUCCAGAGUACCCUACCUUGACUGGUAGGGGAAGACGGGGGUCACUGACCUCCAAGGCUAAAUACGUCCCGAGACCGAUAGCGCACUAGUACCGCGAGGGAAAGCUGAAAAGCACCCCGGAAGGGGGGUGAAAAGAGCCUGAAACCGGGUGGGGAAGGCCAGUGCCAAGGCCCGAAAGCCUCCAAUAACUCCCUCUAUUUUAGAGGGGGUGAGGAGGCGGGGUCUUGGCAUCCGUCUUGAAACACGGGCCAGGGAGUUCAUCCGAGCGGCGAGUCUAAGGCUGUUAAGGCCGUAGGCAUAGGGAAACCGACAGGUGUGCACCACGCCUUUUUGGCGUGGGAGACACGGCCUCUGAAAGGGGGUGGAGCCGCUCGGAUGAGACUAGAAGCCAGGCGAUCUACCCCUGGGCAGGGUGAAGCCGAGCUAAAGCUCGGUGGAGGCCCGCAAGGGUACUGACGUGCAAUUCGUUCCCCUGACCUGGGGGUAGGGGCGAAAGACCUAUCGAGCCUGGGGAUAGCUAGUUCCCCCCGAAGUGAGUCUUAGCUCAGCGGCGGGCGAGGUGGACCGGGGGGUAGAGCACUGAUGGAGAGUGCAGGGGUUCGUCCCCGGCUCUCCGUCAAACUCCGAAUCUCCGGUCUCCGUAGACCCCGCCAGUGGGGCUCCAGGGGGUAAGCUCCUGGGCCGAAAGGGGAACAACCCAGCCCGGGGUUAAGGCCCCUAAGUGCCGGCUAAGUGCCAAACGAAAGGAGGUCCUCCUCCUAAGACAGCGGGGGAGUAGGCUUAGAAGCAGCCAUCUCAUAAUGAGUGCGUAACAGCUCACCCGCCGAGGAGGAGGGCGCCGAAAAUGCACGGGGCUCAAGCCGGCCGCCGAGACCCCGGGGCAGGGGCGAAUGCCCCUGAUCCGGUAGGGGGGCGUCGGGCCCGGGGAGAAGUCGGGCCGUGAGGUCCGAUGGACCGGGUCCGAUUGCAGAUCCUGGCGGUAGUAGGAGCGCAGUCGGGUGGGAAUCCCGACCGCCGAAAGGGCAAGGGUUCCCCGGCAAUGCGUCGUCAGCCGGGGGUUAGCCGGUCCUAAGGGAGGGGCUAACCUACCCUCCCAAAGGGGGAAACCGGUUAAUAUUCCGGUGCCGCUGGUUCCCGGAGGUGGGCUUACGCCCCGCCCUAUACCUCCUGACGCCUCGGGAUAGGGCGAGUGGGGCUGUCGCCCCACCUAACUGCUGAAGCUGGGGGAGUACCGUAAUGGUGAGACCCCGGUGAAGGCAGGAAUGGCCGGCCUUAGCCGGUUCGCCUGAGUCCCGGGGCCAGUGAAAAGGGAGGUAUAGGGACUGACGGGGCCGGCGACCGUACCCAGAACCGACACUGGUGCCCUGGGUGAGUAGCCUAAGGCGUCUCGGGUUAUGGCGGGCGAGGGAAUUCGGCAAAUUGGCCCCGUACCUUCGGUAGAAGGGGUGCCUGCCCUUCGGGUCCUAGAGACUUGAAGGGCAGGUCGCAGUGACAAGGAGGUCCCGACUGUUUACUAAAAACAUAGGGGGCCGCUAGCCCGAAAGGGUGUGUACGGCUCCUGAAUCCUGGCCAGUGGCGGUAUCUUAAGCCCGGGUACAACCGGGUGAAGGACCGCUAAACGCCGGGAGUAACUCUGACUCUCUUAAGGUAGCCAAAUGCCUUGUCGGGUAAGUUCCGACGUGCAUGAACGGAUCAACGAGGGCCUCACUGUCCCCGCCCGCCGCCCGCCGAACCCACAUCCCCGCUCGAACAGUCGGGGAUCCCCCGUUGGGAAGAGAAGACCCUGUGGAGCUUUACUGCAGCCUGCGGCUGGAGUGUGGCGGUGGGUACAGAGCGUAGCCGGGAGCCUGUGAAGCAACCUCUCCGGGGGUUGUGGAGGCGCCCAUGUAACACCGGCUACUCAUCGCUACACUCCUAACCACCCGAGAGGGUGGGACAACCGUUGGUGGGCAGUUUGGCUGGGGCGGCCUCCCCUCGAAAAGGUAUCGAGGGGGCCCAAAGGUCGGCUCACGCGGGUCAGAAACCCGCGGUAGAGUGCAAGGGCAAAAGCCGGCCUGACUGCACCCUUGACAAUAAGGGGUGCAGGGGCGAAAGCCGGGCCUAGCGAACCCUCGUGCCCUCCUCAGUGGGGGCCGGGGAUGACAGAAAAGUUACCCCAGGGAUAACAGGCUCGUCGCGGGCGAGAGUCCCCAUCGACCCCGCGGCUUGGUACCUCGAUGUCGGCUCUUCCCAUCCUGGCCUCGAAGUAGGGGCCAAGGGUGGGGCUGCUCGCCCAUUAAAGGGGAACGUGAGCUGGGUUUAGACCGUCGUGAG